RNAcentral lists this unclassified non-coding RNA (353 nucleotides) under soil metagenome. RNAcentral's name for it is "partial contains 5.8S ribosomal RNA, internal transcribed spacer 2, and large subunit ribosomal RNA". The stretch from base 1 to 120 matches the Rfam family "5.8S ribosomal RNA", at positions 35 to 154 of the family's 154-position model. The record is from RNAcentral.
GAUGAAGAACGCAGCGAAAUGCGAUAAGUAAUGUGAAUUGCAGAAUUCAGUGAAUCAUCGAAUCUUUGAACGCACAUUGCGCCCGCCAGUAUUCUGGCGGGCAUGCCUGUUCGAGCGUCAUUACAACCCUCAGGCCCCCGGGCCUGGCGUUGCGGAUCGGCGGAAGCCCCCUGCGGGCACAACGCCGUCCCCCAAAUACAGUGGCGGUCCCGCCGCAGCUUCCAUUGCGUAGUAGCUAACACCUCGCAACUGGAGAGCGGCGCGGCCACGCCGUAAAACACCCAACUUCUGAAUGUUGACCUCGAAUCAGGUAGGAAUACCCGCUGAACUUAAGCAUAUCAAUAAGCGGAGGA